This is a long non-coding RNA of Cynoglossus semilaevis (tongue sole), 329 nucleotides long. RefSeq lists it as uncharacterized. NCBI's taxonomy places the organism in Eukaryota, Metazoa, Chordata, Actinopteri, Pleuronectiformes, Cynoglossidae. The record is from RefSeq and is a predicted model, not a curated record. The transcript is spliced from 3 exons.
GAGGGGGUGAGGGGGUGACAGGGUGAGGGGGUGACAGGGUGAGGGGGUGAGGCCUGAUCCUAAAGUUCUGGAACCUUCCCUUCUACUGUGAACACAUCUGACCAACAUCUCACCCCAGACUGUGUGGACCAGGACGCUGCAGAACUGACGGCUGUGAUGGUCAGGCUGCUGGUCUUUGUGCUCUGUCCUGCGGAGGUCUGGGGCGGGGACCGCGGCAGGGUUCCUGCGGAGGUCUGGGGCGGGGACCGCGGCAGGGUUCCCGGUUUGAUGGUGACCACGGAGCCGCGGCGUCCGUCGGAGGAGCCUUUGAAGCGCGGGCCCAGGUGGAU